AUGAACGCUGGCGGCGUGCCUAAUACAUGCAAGUCGAGCGAACGGACGAGAAGCUUGCUUCUCUGAUGUUAGCGGCGGACGGGUGAGUAACACGUGGAUAACCUACCUAUAAGACUGGGAUAACUUCGGGAAACCGGAGCUAAUACCGGAUGAUAUUUUGAACCGCAUGGUUCAAAAGUGAAAGACGGUCUUGCUGUUACUUAUAGAUGGAUCCGCGCUGCAUUAGCUAGUUGGUAAGGUAACGGCUUACCAAGGCAACGAUGCAUAGCCGACCUGAGAGGGUGAUCGGCCACACUGGAACUGAGACACGGUCCAGACUCCUACGGGAGGCAGCAGUAGGGAAUCUUCCGCAAUGGGCGAAAGCCUGACGGAGCAACGCCGCGUGAGUGAUGAAGGUCUUCGGAUCGUAAAACUCUGUUAUUAGGGAAGAACAUAUGUGUAAGUAACUGUGCACAUCUUGACGGUACCUAAUCAGAAAGCCACGGCUAACUACGUG
Molecule: ribosomal RNA, 496 nt
Filed under: uncultured bacterium
Lineage: Bacteria
Description: partial 16S ribosomal RNA
Rfam family: Bacterial small subunit ribosomal RNA
Source: RNAcentral